This 497-nucleotide ribosomal RNA is filed under the name uncultured bacterium. Its description in RNAcentral is "partial 16S ribosomal RNA". It matches the Rfam family "Bacterial small subunit ribosomal RNA", at positions 28 to 507 of the family's 1533-position model. The record is from RNAcentral.
GAUGAACGCUGGCGGCGUGCCUAAUACAUGCAAGUCGAGCGAACGGACGAGAAGCUUGCUUCUCUGAUGUUAGCGGCGGACGGGUGAGUAACACGUGGAUAACCUACCUAUAAGACUGGGAUAACUUCGGGAAACCGGAGCUAAUACCGGAUAAUAUUUUGAACCGCAUGGUUCAAAAGUGAAAGACGGUCUUGCUGUCACUUAUAGAUGGAUCCGCGCUGCAUUAGCUAGUUGGUAAGGUAACGGCUUACCAAGGCAACGAUGCAUAGCCGACCUGAGAGGGUGAUCGGCCACACUGGAACUGAGAAACGGUCCAGACUCCUACGGGAGGCAGCAGUAGGGAAUCUUCCGCAAUGGGCGAAAGCCUGACGGAGCAACGCCGCGUGAGUGAUGAAGGUCUUCGGAUCGUAAAACUCUGUUAUUAGGGAAGAACAUAUAUGUAAGUAACUGUGCACAUCUUGACGGUACCUAAUCAGAAAGCCACGGCUAACUACGUG